CUCUGCCCCCCGGCGCUCUGCCCCCCGGCGCUCUGCCCCCCGGCGCGCUGCCCCCGCAACUGUCGCACCCGCCGCACCAGCCGUUACCCCCGAGGUGCUGAUCUCGAGCUGGACGUCAGUUCUGAAGCUGUAAAUAAAUUCUUCAUUCCUUCAAAUUCUUAUUAUAAAUUAUUGUGAUUGAUGCUUAUGUACCUAGUAUAUUAAUAUAUAAAUUAUUUUAAA
Molecule: long non-coding RNA, 222 nt
Organism: Melitaea cinxia (Glanville fritillary)
Lineage: Eukaryota; Metazoa; Arthropoda; Insecta; Lepidoptera; Nymphalidae
Exons: 2
Source: RefSeq, a predicted model, not a curated record